RNAcentral lists this long non-coding RNA (232 nucleotides) under Elaeis guineensis (African oil palm). RNAcentral's name for it is "long non-coding RNA (EGUI_LNC082481)". Lineage: Eukaryota; Viridiplantae; Streptophyta; Magnoliopsida; Arecales; Arecaceae. The record is from RNAcentral.
CGUGGUACAUGGUAGGCCAGUAAUAGCCUUUACGGAGCAGCUUGUGGGAUAAAGAUCUGACCCCCAGGUGACUUCCACAGACUCCCUCAUGUACCUCUCUCAAGGCGAAGUCAGCUUCAGAAGGCCGAAGACAUUUCAGGAGGGGCAAGGAGUAUGACCUCUUGUAUAGCUUGCCUUCGUAAAGGAUAUAUCGGGAGGCCUGGUUCUUAAGCUUACGAGCUUCUUUUGCAUC